ACCCAGGGAAACUUGGGCUAAUACCGGAUACGUCCGAGAGGAGAAAGAUUUAUCGCUGAAGGAUCGGCCCGCGUCUGAUUAGCUAGUUGGUGAGGUAAAGGCUCACCAAGGCGACGAUCAGUAGCUGGUCUGAGAGGAUGAUCAGCCACACUGGGACUGAGACACGGCCCAGACUCCUACGGGAGGCAGCAGUGGGGAAUAUCGGACAAUGGGCGCAAGCCUGAUCCAGCCAUGCCGCGUGAGUGAUGAAGGCCUUAGGGUUGUAAAGCUCUUUCGGCGGGGACGAUAAUGACGGUACCCGCAGAAGAAGCCCCGGCUAACUUCGUGCCAGCAGCCGCGGUAAUACGAAGGGGGCUAGCGUUGUUCGGAAUCACUGGGCGUAAAGGGCGCGUAGGCGGCUUUGUAAGUCGGGGGUGAAAGCCUGUGGCUCAACCACAGAGUUGCCUUCGAUACUGCAUGGCUUGAGACCGGAAGAGGUUAGUGGAACUGCGAGUGUAGAGGUGAAAUUCGUAGAUAUUCGCAAGAACACCAGUGGCGAAGGCGGCUGACUGGUCCGGUUCUGACGCUGAG
RNAcentral lists this ribosomal RNA (570 nucleotides) under uncultured bacterium. Its description in RNAcentral is "bacterial SSU rRNA". It matches the Rfam family "Bacterial small subunit ribosomal RNA", at positions 146 to 750 of the family's 1533-position model. The record is from RNAcentral.